GAAAAGCUUGAGCAUGUCCAAAGAGCAACAACCAUGAUGGUGAGAAAGACUCAAAACUCUGUCUUAUGAAGAUGAGAUGAGAAAACUGAGGUUGAGAGAUGUAAAGUAGCUCGCUGGAGUCACAUGGCUAAGACUGUGAGGCAAGAUUCAAAUUCAGCUCUUCCUGACUCCAGGGGAGGGAGUUAUUUUGAAGUGCUUUGGUCCUCGGAUGUGGAGCUCUAUUCUGGCUGUCUACUCACCCCUAGCUUUGUGUCAAUGAGCUGCAUUUCAGGAUCUGUGCAGGAGGAACAUCGCACUGACUGACACAACAUAAUUUGGAGCCAUUACAAUGUAUUGUGUGUAGGACACUACUGUGGGGCUGUUAAUAUGCAGAAUUUUGCAUAGUAUGAAUGCUAAUCACUUUGACGAUGAUGCUAUUCAUACAAUAUGUAAUACUUGCUAAACAAAAUUAUGAAACAUAAUUACUGCUCAGGCACAGUUGCUGCUUUCAGUCCUCAAAAACCCAGUCAUUUAAAAUUGUGUUUUCUUUAAAUAAAUGGCAACAAUCCCCACUAAAGACUAUGGGCCUAGAUAAUUUCCUUUUUGAAAAAAGGAGCCUUUUUAUCUUUAGUGAGUGACAAAAACAUCCCUUUAUGAAAGGUUUAUAACUCAGCCAUUCAAAUGUGCUUCAGGCUGAAAUUU
Phascolarctos cinereus (koala) is the source of this 681-nucleotide non-coding RNA. Lineage: Eukaryota; Metazoa; Chordata; Mammalia; Diprotodontia; Phascolarctidae. The record is from RefSeq and is a predicted model, not a curated record.